RNAcentral lists this ribosomal RNA (574 nucleotides) under uncultured bacterium. RNAcentral describes it as "bacterial SSU rRNA". It matches the Rfam family "Bacterial small subunit ribosomal RNA", at positions 339 to 906 of the family's 1533-position model. The record is from RNAcentral.
CUACGGGAGGCAGCAGUCGGGAAUAUUGGACAAUGGGGGAAACCCUGAUCCAGCCAUGCCGCGUGUGUGAAGAAGGCCCUAGGGUUGUAAAGCACUUUUAGUAGUGAGGAAGGCUCAGCAGUUAAUACCUGCUGGGAUUGACGUUAGCUACAGAAAAAGCACCGGCUAAUUUCGUGCCAGCAGCCGCGGUAAUACGAAAGGUGCAAGCGUUAAUCGGAAUUACUGGGCGUAAAGCGCGCGUAGGCGGAUUAGAAAGUUGGGGGUGAAAUCCCGGGGCUCAACCCCGGAACUGCCUCCAAAACUGCUAGUCUAGAGUUCGAGAGAGGUGAGUGGAAUUCCGAGUGUAGAGGUGAAAUUCGUAGAUAUUCGGAGGAACACCAGUGGCGAAGGCGGCUCACUGGCUCGAUACUGACGCUGAGGUGCGAAAGUGUGGGGAGCAAACAGGAUUAGAUACCCUGGUAGUCCACACCGUAAACGAUGAAUGCCAGUCGUCGGAUAGUAUACUAUUCGGUGACACACCUAACGGAUUAAGCAUUCCGCCUGGGGAGCACGGUCGCAAGAUUAAAACUCAAAG